UCUCUAUCCUUCUCUCACUUAUUAUUCUUGUCUGUAUCGUCACUAGUAGAUUCUCAAAAACUUCACGCUGAUAUUAGAUGUACGAUGUAUUCGGCAAUUGAGAAAUUCUUAUGGGAAAGCAGAAUAAAAUUCUUAUGGGAAAAAUAUCGAAAGAUUGCCAAUCAAAGAAAGUGCAAGGAAUUGUUUUUUUAAAUGACGACUCGUGAUCGAAAAGGAAUGCUUCCGAAAUCGAAAGAUAUCCUCGGGCUUCUGUGCAGUGCUAAACGUUAACCAAGUGAACACGGCGCCUCAACGAUCGAUGAAUCAAUACGCACUACGCGCCGCAGAAGAAAGGGACGAGGGAUCAGAGAAGGGCAAGGAUACGGUGGUUAUGUACAAGUUGAAUAAACUUACACGAAGAACUCGUUCCUCCAUAACAAAGAGGAAAUAAA
Molecule: long non-coding RNA, 431 nt
Organism: Apis laboriosa (Himalayan honeybee)
Lineage: Eukaryota; Metazoa; Arthropoda; Insecta; Hymenoptera; Apidae
Exons: 3
Source: RefSeq, a predicted model, not a curated record